AGUCGACGGAUCCUUCGGGAUUUAGUGGCGGACGGGUGAGUAACACGUAAGAACCUGCCUCUAGGACGGGGACAACAGUUGGAAACGACUGCUAAACCCGGAUGAGCCGAAAGGUAAAAGAUUUAUCGCCUAGAGAGGGGCUUGCGUCUGAUUAGCUAGUUGGUAAGGUAAAGGCUUACCAAGGCGACGAUCAGUAGCUGGUCUGAGAGGAUGAUCAGCCACACUGGGACUGAGACACGGCCCAGACUCCUACGGGAGGCAGCAGUGGGGAAUUUUCCGCAAUGGGCGAAAGCCUGACGGAGCAAGACCGCGUGGGGGAGGAAGGUUCUUGGAUUGUCAACCCCUUUUCUCAGGGAUGAACUCAAUGACGGUACCUGAGGAAAAAGCAUCGGCUAACUCCGUGCCAGCAGACGCGGUAAUACGGGGGAUGCAAGCGUUAUCCGGAAUGAUUGGGCGUAAAAGAGUCCGUAGGUAGCCAAUCAAGUCUGCUGUUAAAGAGCGAGGCUUAACUUCGUAAAGGCAGUGGAAACUGGAAGGCUAGAGUGUAGUAGGGGCAGAGGGAAUUCCUGGUGUAUCGGUGAAAUGCGUAAGAUCAGGAAGAAAACCGGUGGCGAAUGGCGCUCUGCUGGGCUAUAAUUGAUACUGAUGUAC
Molecule: ribosomal RNA, 651 nt
Filed under: uncultured bacterium
Lineage: Bacteria
Description: bacterial SSU rRNA
Rfam family: Bacterial small subunit ribosomal RNA
Source: RNAcentral